Streptomyces sp. CC53 is the source of this 293-nucleotide small RNA. It matches the Rfam family "5' ureB small RNA". The record is from Rfam. NCBI's taxonomy places the organism in Bacteria, Bacillati, Actinomycetota, Actinomycetes, Kitasatosporales, Streptomycetaceae.
CCGUGUCGACCAGGGGGGGGGAGAUGAAGUGGACGUGGGCGUCGACGGCUCCUGCGGUGAGGAUCCUGCCGUUGCCGGAGAUGAUCUCCGUCUCCGGUCCGAUGACGAGGUCGGGGUGGACGCCGUCCAUGGUGUCGGGGUUGCCGGCCUUGCCGAUGCCGGUGAUGCGGCCGUCCCGGAUGCCGAUGUCGGCCUUGACGAUCCCCCAGUGGUCGAGGACGACGGCGCCGGUGACGACGGUGUCGGGGGUGCCGUCGGCGCGGGCGGCGCGGGACUGGCCCAUGGACUCGCGG